This 718-nucleotide ribosomal RNA is filed under the name Glandirana tientaiensis (Tientai rough-skinned frog). RNAcentral describes it as "Rugosa tientaiensis (Tientai rough-skinned frog) partial 12S ribosomal RNA". The stretch from base 1 to 469 matches the Rfam family "Bacterial small subunit ribosomal RNA", at positions 865 to 1533 of the family's 1533-position model. The record is from RNAcentral. Lineage: Eukaryota; Metazoa; Chordata; Amphibia; Anura; Ranidae.
AUCAGCGCCAGGGAACUACAAGCAAUGCUUAAAACCCAAAGGACUUGACGGUGUCCCACCCACCUAGAGGAGCCUGUUCUAUAAUUGAUAAUCCCCGCUUUACCUAACCAUCCCUUGCUUUUCAGUCUGUAUACCUCCGUCGAAAGCUUACCAUGUGAACGCCCUCAGUAAGCUUAAUGACCCCAUCAAUACGUCAGGUCAAGGUGCAGCUCACGGAAUGGGAAGAAAUGGGCUACAAUUUCUAACCUAGAACAAACGAAAGGCUACGUGAAACCCUAGCUCCGAAGGCGGAUUUAGUAGUAAAAAGAAAAUAGAGAGUUCUUUUUAACCCGGCUCUGGGACGCGUACACACCGCCCGUCACCCUCUUCAAUAGUACUCCUCCUGUUCAUAACCUACUACUUACACCAUAGAAGAGGCAAGUCGUAACAUGGUAAGUGUACUGGAAAGUGCACUUGGUCUACAACAAAAUGUAGCUUAACACAAAGCCCCCCGCUUACACCGAGGAAAUAUCUGUUUAACCCAGAUCAUUUUGAGCCCAACAUCUAGCCCUCACUACUCGCAUGACCCCAUCAACCUCUCACCUCUUAACAAAACAUUUCCCCACUUUAGUACAGGCGAUCGAAAAAUUUAUAGGCGCUUCAGAUAAAGUACCGCAAGGGAACGAUGAAAUAAAAAUGAAAUAACCCACAAGCCCCAAAUAGCAGAGAUACCCCCUCG